UGUGAAAGAAUUACACUCCCCGCCCC
Molecule: non-coding RNA, 26 nt
Filed under: Mus musculus (house mouse)
Lineage: Eukaryota; Metazoa; Chordata; Mammalia; Rodentia; Muridae
Source: RNAcentral